GGGAUAAUAGUUAACCAUAAUAUUUAAAUUGCACUUAAAAGGUACUAUUAUUAGUUUAUCUCA
This 63-nucleotide transfer RNA is filed under the name Melyridae sp. GENSP01. RNAcentral's name for it is "tRNA-Ala". Lineage: Eukaryota; Metazoa; Arthropoda; Insecta; Coleoptera; Melyridae. The record is from RNAcentral.